This 253-nucleotide ribosomal RNA is filed under the name uncultured bacterium. RNAcentral describes it as "partial 16S ribosomal RNA". It matches the Rfam family "Bacterial small subunit ribosomal RNA", at positions 524 to 776 of the family's 1533-position model. The record is from RNAcentral.
UACGAAGGGUGCAAGCGUUACUCGGAAUUACUGGGCGUAAAGCGUGCGUAGGUGGUUCGUUAAGUCUGAUGUGAAAGCCCUGGGCUCAACCUGGGAAUGGCAUUGGAAACUGGCGACCUAGAGUGCGGUGGAGGGUAGUGGAAUUCCCGGUGUAGCAGUGAAAUGCGUAGAGAUCGGGAGGAACAUCUGUGGCGAAGGCGACUGCCUGGACCAGCACUGACACUGAGGCACGAAAGCGUGGGGAGCAAACAGG